UGCAAAUUGGGUGUGACCUGCGAGAACCCGCAACCAUGCGACGGCCUCCGGAGCCGUGUGCGCAGGUUCGAAUCCUGCCGGGG
Molecule: transfer RNA, 83 nt
Filed under: Streptomyces sp. V1I6
Lineage: Bacteria; Bacillati; Actinomycetota; Actinomycetes; Kitasatosporales; Streptomycetaceae
Description: tRNA-Arg
Source: RNAcentral